UCCGAACGUACCACGGUGCCCCAGU
Molecule: non-coding RNA, 25 nt
Filed under: Drosophila erecta
Lineage: Eukaryota; Metazoa; Arthropoda; Insecta; Diptera; Drosophilidae
Also listed under: 2 other names
Source: RNAcentral